Molecule: long non-coding RNA, 657 nt
Filed under: Ailuropoda melanoleuca (giant panda)
Lineage: Eukaryota; Metazoa; Chordata; Mammalia; Carnivora; Ursidae
Description: lncRNA (ENSAMEG00000025648.1)
Source: RNAcentral
CAAGGAAUUCGCCGUAGCUGGUGAAAUUACAUUAAUGCAUGUAAAUACCCAUAUUAACCCAUCCAAGGUGCCCUUGCUUCUGGAUAUGCCCUGGGCCCAAAGCGAAUCUUCCCAGAGGUAAAACCACUGUGUAAUUACUGUUAUUUCAUGUGUGUGUGUUCGUGCAUUCACUCAUUCAUAAGUUUUUGCCUUCUCUCAUUCAUUCAGCAAGUUAUUGAGCACCUAAUGCAUGCCCAGCACCACACCAGGCUCUGGUGAUACAAGAUGAUGAGCAAAACCAGACCAGUGCCAGUCUUUCUGGACCCCUCAUUCUUACCAGGGAGACAGCAACCACAUCACACAAUGAAAGAGCAAAUGCUGAAUGGUCCUGCUGGGGUCACAGGCUCACCCCUGAACCAACUGCUAUGAACCCCAGAAGAAGGGAGAUUGGAAUAAAUCUGUAAAAAUCAGUCACUGCUACAGUCCACUCGGGAAAUUAGCCAACAUCACCAGGAGCGAAGACAGUGCCGAUGAGGGGGUAAGGUCAGGGAAUAUCCACUGGGGUUCAAGGGAGGGAAAAUCAUGCUCAACUAGGGUAGGAAAGGCUUCACAGCAGAGGUGGGAUUGGAGCUGGGUGUUGCAAGACUAAGAGUUUAAAAAUGGAUACAGAAGAAAAUA